RNAcentral lists this non-coding RNA (29 nucleotides) under Mus musculus (house mouse). Lineage: Eukaryota; Metazoa; Chordata; Mammalia; Rodentia; Muridae. The record is from RNAcentral.
UCUUCAAUCAUGGAGAGGCUUGAGCAAUU